RNAcentral lists this ribosomal RNA (1442 nucleotides) under uncultured organism. RNAcentral's name for it is "SSU rRNA". It matches the Rfam family "Bacterial small subunit ribosomal RNA". The record is from RNAcentral.
UAUCUACAGGCUUAACACAUGCAAGUCGAGGGGCAUCAGGAAGAAAGCUUGCUUUCUUUGCUGGCGACCGGCGCACGGGUGAGUAACACGUAUCCAACCUGCCCUUUACUCGGGGAUAGCCUUUCGAAAGAAAGAUUAAUACCCGAUAGCAUAAUGAUUCCGCAUGGUUUCAUUAUUAAAGGAUUCCGGUAAAGGAUGGGGAUGCGUUCCAUUAGGUUGUUGGUGAGGUAACGGCCCACCAAGCCUUCGAUGGAUAGGGGUUCUGAGAGGAAGGUCCCCCACAUUGGAACUGAGACACGGUCCAAACUCCUACGGGAGGCAGCAGUGAGGAAUAUUGGUCAAUGGGCGCUAGCCUGAACCAGCCAAGUAGCGUGAAGGAUGAAGGCUCUAUGGGUCGUAAACUUCUUUUAUAUAAGAAUAAAGUGCAGUAUGUAUACUGUUUUGUAUGUAUUAUAUGAAUAAGGAUCGGCUAACUCCGUGCCAGCAGCCGCGGUAAUACGGAGGAUCCGAGCGUUAUCCGGAUUUAUUGGGUUUAAAGGGAGCGUAGGUGGACUGGUAAGUCAGUUGUGAAAGUUUGCGGCUCAACCGUAAAAUUGCAGUUGAUACUGUCAGUCUUGAGUACAGUAGAGGUGGGCGGAAUUCGUGGUGUAGCGGUGAAAUGCUUAGAUAUCACGAAGAACUCCGAUUGCGAAGGCAGCUCACUGGACUGCAACUGACACUGAUGCUCGAAAGUGUGGGUAUCAAACAGGAUUAGAUACCCUGGUAGUCCACACAGUAAACGAUGAAUACUCGCUGUUUGCGAUAUACAGUAAGCGGCCAAGCGAAAGCAUUAAGUAUUCCACCUGGGGAGUACGCCGGCAACGGUGAAACUCAAAGGAAUUGACGGGGGCCCGCACAAGCGGAGGAACAUGUGGUUUAAUUCGAUGAUACGCGAGGAACCUUACCCGGGCUUAAAUUGCAGUGGAAUGAUGUGGAAACAUGUCAGUGAGCAAUCACCGCUGUGAAGGUGCUGCAUGGUUGUCGUCAGCUCGUGCCGUGAGGUGUCGGCUUAAGUGCCAUAACGAGCGCAACCCUUAUCUUUAGUUACUAACAGGUUAUGCUGAGGACUCUAGAGAGACUGCCGUCGUAAGAUGUGAGGAAGGUGGGGAUGACGUCAAAUCAGCACGGCCCUUACGUCCGGGGCUACACACGUGUUACAAUGGGGGGUACAGAAGGCAGCUAGCGGGUGACCGUAUGCUAAUCCCAAAAUCCUCUCUCAGUUCGGAUCGAAGUCUGCAACCCGACUUCGUGAAGCUGGAUUCGCUAGUAAUCGCGCAUCAGCCACGGCGCGGUGAAUACGUUCCCGGGCCUUGUACACACCGCCCGUCAAGCCAUGGGAGCCGGGGGUACCUGAAGUACGUAACCGCAAGGAUCGUCCUAGGGUAAAACUGGUGACUGGGGCU